GUACCGCUGAAGAGUCCCAAGAACUAGGACGAAACGGUUGUCCAGUAC
This 48-nucleotide non-coding RNA is filed under the name Trichobilharzia regenti. Lineage: Eukaryota; Metazoa; Platyhelminthes; Trematoda; Strigeidida; Schistosomatidae. The record is from RNAcentral.